CCAGUGGUGGUUCAGUGGUAGAAUUCUCCCCUCCCAUGCCAGAGACCUGGGUUCAAUUCCCAGUCAACGCA
RNAcentral lists this transfer RNA (71 nucleotides) under Loxodonta africana (African savanna elephant). It matches the Rfam family "tRNA". From Rfam's summary of the family: Transfer RNA (tRNA) molecules are approximately 80 nucleotides in length. Their secondary structure includes four short double-helical elements and three loops (D, anti-codon, and T loops). Lineage: Eukaryota; Metazoa; Chordata; Mammalia; Proboscidea; Elephantidae. The record is from Rfam by way of RNAcentral.